This 36-nucleotide non-coding RNA is filed under the name Roseiflexus castenholzii DSM 13941. The record is from RNAcentral. Lineage: Bacteria; Bacillati; Chloroflexota; Chloroflexia; Chloroflexales; Roseiflexaceae.
UUUCCGAUUUUUCGGCUCGCAGAAGAGCACUGAAAU